GUGACUCCCUCAUCACCUAUCAAUGUGUUGCUUUCAUUACUUUUAAGUUCAAAAAACAAUAUAAACAAUAAUCCAUCAAAACUUCAGAUUUCUAAUCUGCUACGAAGGUUCGCGAGAAAGUCCAGCGAUUAUCAGCAUAACUAUUGAAUUGGUCUGUGAUUCUUAUAUCUACAACUCCCAAUGAAUACUCCUUUAAUUCUAGCUAUACUUUCAGAUCCCAGCUAGUGUUAACAUUUUGGACAAUGGCUAAUGGACAAUGCCCUCCAAAGCGGAGGCUGAAGCCAAUCAAGUUGUCCACUCCUGUUGUUCAAAUCCAAGUAAGUUACUUAUAUUCUAUGAUAAUCAUAAGUAGCUUAUAUUCUAUGUGAUUUGUUUAAAUGGCAUAACACUUUUGAUAUACAGAUGCACUUGAUAAUAAUGUUUAAUAAUGUGAUUUAUAAAAUUUGUUUCAAUUGCUUUGUGAUCCUAAGGUUGUGUUAUCAUCUAAAAACUCAUCUAAUAUAUAGCUAUUAUGCUUAGUUAGAAAUAGUUUUGUUACUAAGCUUGAUUUAUAAAAAUUUAUAUAAUGAGAAGUAAAGGAAUCUAAGUACCUGAUUCAUAAGCUACUUUAGAUCAAAAUAUCCAGAAUGCAUACUCCAACUUAGCCUACUGUUGAUGAAGCUUAUGCAUUCAAAUAAGAUUUCUGAACACUUCUUGAAUACGACAUUGUCUGUCAUUGUUCUGUUAUCAUCAUCAUGACAUAACAAUAUCUCAAGUCUCUCCCUAUUUGUCACCUAGAUGCUUGAUAAACUUCAUUUGUAGGGUUUAUCUUGUAUUAAUUUUAGGGGAUUUUAUCACUUUUUACCCACAUUUAUUCAAUGAAAUAGCAAGGGUUUGUAUAUUCUCCUUUAAUUGUGCUUAACAGUGAAAACAUGCUUUUUAGGUCUUAAAAUAGAUAAAUGUAAUUUACCUUGAUUCCAUUAGAUGCCUUGAUAUGUUUGUUAAGUGAUUUCAGAUUUAGGAGGCAAAGAUUGGAUUAAGGGAAUGAAGAAAAAGCAUGUAAAGUUAGAGAACUCAUGAAGAAAUGAUGGAACCAAAAAGCUGUCAAGUCUGACCUCUUCGCACUUAAUUGACCAUAACUUGAGUUACAGAGGUCCAAAUGAUACGGUUCUAGUUGGGUUGGAAAGCUAACAUCCGGGGCUUCGAAACGAUAUAAGAUUUGCCAUAGUUGCAUCGCGCAUAGGGGCGCGCACGCGCACGGUACGCGGACGCGCCGAUGGUGGCACAUGACCCACUUAAUGCAACACAUGGCCAGCGAUUUUAGAAGCCUUGUGGGCCCAAUCCAACUUAUUUCUGAUGCUAUUUAAGCCAAGGAUUGAAGAGGAAUCAACAUACUUUUGAUCAUUAGUCAUAGUUUAGUUUUAGAAGUAGUUAGAGUUAGAGAGAGAAGCUCUCUCUUCUCUCUAGAAUUAGGAUUAGGAAUUAGGGUUAGAUUAGGAUCUCAUAGUUCUAGGUUUAAUUCAAGUCUCCUUCUACUUCUACCUUCAAUUGAUGAUUGCUACACUUUGGUUCUUCUUUCUAUCCCUAU
Long non-coding RNA from Arachis stenosperma, 1567 nucleotides. RefSeq lists it as uncharacterized. NCBI's taxonomy places the organism in Eukaryota, Viridiplantae, Streptophyta, Magnoliopsida, Fabales, Fabaceae. The transcript is spliced from 3 exons. The record is from RefSeq and is a predicted model, not a curated record.